This 777-nucleotide ribosomal RNA is filed under the name uncultured bacterium. Its description in RNAcentral is "bacterial SSU rRNA". It matches the Rfam family "Bacterial small subunit ribosomal RNA", at positions 9 to 783 of the family's 1533-position model. The record is from RNAcentral.
GAGUUUGAUCCUGGCUCAGGAUGAACGCUAGCGGGAGGCUUAACACAUGCAAGUCGAGGGGUAAGGUCAAGCUUGCUUGAUACACGACCGGCGCACGGGUGAGUAACGCGUAUGCAACCUACCUUUUACAGGAGGAUAGCCCGAAGAAAUUCGGAUUAAUACUCCAUAGUUUUGUUAGAUCGCAUGAUUUGAUAAAUAAAGCUCUGGCGGUAAAAGAUGGGCAUGCGUGCCAUUAGUUUGUUGGUGAGGUAACGGCUCACCAAGACUACGAUGGUUAUGGGGUCUUAAAGGAUGAUCCCACACACUGGUACUGAGACACGGACCAGACUCCUACGGGAGGCAGCAGUGAGGAAUAUUGGUCAAUGGGCGCAAGCCUGAACCAGCCAUCCCGCGUGAAGGAUGACAGUCCUAGAGAUUGUAAACUUCUUUUAUAUAGGAAGAAUAAGAACUACGUGUAGUUUGAUGACUGUACUAUAUGAAUAAGCACCGGCUAACUCCGUGCCAGCAGCCGCGGUAAUACGGAGGGUGCAAGCGUUAUCCGGAUUUAUUAGGUUUAAAGGGUGCGUAGGCGGAAGCUUAAGUCAGUGGUAAAAGGCAAUAGCUUAACUAUUGUAANGCCAUUGAAACUGGGUUUCUUGAGUUCGGUAGAGGUAGGCGGAAUGUGUUGUGUAGCGGUGAAAUGCAUAGAUAUAACACAGAACACCGAUUGCGAAGGCAGCUUACUAUGCCGUUACUGACGCUGAUGCACGAAAGCGUGGGUAUCAAACAGGAUUAGAU